AAAUUGAAGAGUUUGAUCAUGGCUCAGAUUGAACGCUGGCGGCAGGCCUAACACAUGCAAGUCGAGCGGUAGCACAGAGAGCUUGCUCUCGGGUGACGAGCGGCGGACGGGUGAGUAAUGUCUGGGAAACUGCCUGAUGGAGGGGGAUAACUACUGGAAACGGUAGCUAAUACCGCAUAACGUCGCAAGACCAAAGUGGGGGACCUUCGGGCCUCAUGCCAUCAGAUGUGCCCAGAUGGGAUUAGCUAGUAGGUGGGGUAACGGCUCACCUAGGCGACGAUCCCUAGCUGGUCUGAGAGGAUGACCAGCCACACUGGAACUGAGACACGGUCCAGACUCCUACGGGAGGCAGCAGUGGGGAAUAUUGCACAAUGGGCGCAAGCCUGAUGCAGCCAUGCCGCGUGUGUGAAGAAGGCCUUCGGGUUGUAAAGCACUUUCAGCGGGGAGGAAGGCGAUAAGGUUAAUAACCUUGUCGAUUGACGUUACCCGCAGAAGAAGCACCGGCUAACUCCGUGCCAGCAGCCGCGGUAAUACGGAGGGUGCAAGCGUUAAUCGAAAUUACUGGGCGUAAAGCGCACGCAGGCGGUCUGUCAAGUCGGAUGUGAAAUCCCCGGGCUUAACCUGGGAACUGCAUUCGAAACUGGCAGGCUAGAGUCUUGUAGAGGGGGGUAGAAUUCCAGGUGUAGCGGUGAAAUGCGUAGAGAUCUGGAGGAAUACCGGUGGCGAAGGCGGCCCCCUGGACAAAGACUGACGCUCAGGUGCGAAAGCGUGGGGAGCAAACAGGAUUAGAUACCCUGGUAGUCCACGCCGUAAACGAUGUCGAUUUGGAGGUUGUGCCCUUGAGGCGUGGCUUCCGGAGCUAACGCGUUAAAUCGACCGCCUGGGGAGUACGGCCGCAAGGUUAAAACUCAAAUGAAUUGACGGGGGCCCGCACAAGCGGUGGAGCAUGUGGUUUAAUUCGAUGCAACGCGAAGAACCUUACCUGGUCUUGACAUCCACAGAACUUUCCAGAGAUGGAUUGGUGCCUUCGGGAACUGUGAGACAGGUGCUGCAUGGCUGUCGUCAGCUCGUGUUGUGAAAUGUUGGGUUAAGUCCCGCAACGAGCGCAACCCUUAUCCUUUGUUGCCAGCGGUUAGGCCGGGAACUCAAAGGAGACUGCCAGUGAUAAACUGGAGGAAGGUGGGGAUGACGUCAAGUCAUCAUGGCCCUUACGACCAGGGCUACACACGUGCUACAAUGGCAUAUACAAAGAGAAGCGACCUCGCGAGAGCAAGCGGACCUCAUAAAGUAUGUCGUAGUCCGGAUUGGAGUCUGCAACUCGACUCCAUGAAGUCGGAAUCGCUAGUAAUCGUAGAUCAGAAUGCUACGGUGAAUACGUUCCCGGGCCUUGUACACACCGCCCGUCACACCAUGGGAGUGGGUUGCAAAAGAAGUAGGUAGCUUAACCUUCGGGAGGGCGCUUACCACUUUGUGAUUCAUGACUGGGGUGAAGUCGUAACAAGGUAACCGUAGGGGAACCUGCGGUUGGAUCACCUCCUUA
RNAcentral lists this ribosomal RNA (1540 nucleotides) under Klebsiella pneumoniae. RNAcentral describes it as "bacterial SSU rRNA". It matches the Rfam family "Bacterial small subunit ribosomal RNA". Lineage: Bacteria; Pseudomonadati; Pseudomonadota; Gammaproteobacteria; Enterobacterales; Enterobacteriaceae. The record is from RNAcentral.